CAGGCAUCCUCCUCAUUUGCAGGCAGAAGUGAAGCCAAGGUAACACGUAGGAAAUGACUCACUGAGGAUCACAUAGCCCUCACUGUCGCAGUAUGACAGUGCUCAGGAAACUGCACCUCUGCGGUGGCCCCACUCACUUAGGGCUGCAUUACCAGGGGUUUUGUAAGUUGGGGCACCCGAGCUGGUUUAGGGAGCCAACACUCCCCUGCGCAGAGGAGAGUCUUCCUUCCGAAACCAGACCUACUGCUUCGGGCUCAUCUGCCAGGCUUGCUGGGGGCUCAGAAGGUGAAACCCAGUGUCUGGUCUUCCCCGGCUCCAGCGCAUUCCUGCGGUAGAACGAGAGAAGGUGAGACAGGCUCUCCAUGCAGAGCAGCCGUGGGGCAGGGGACCAAAAACACUUGCUGCAAAAUCUUUUCCGCAGUGAUGUUCACGAAGAAAAGGCACCGGGAGCUUGGCUCCAUCCAGCUGCCUCUGGGAGGCCGUGUGGAGGGAAACGGCAUGCAGGACCUGGGGAAUGAAUAUGCAGGCCGAUCCCUGCUUUGCACAGUUCCAUGGGGGAGCAGUAUUGAAGAUAUUUCAAGCCGCUGAAAAGGUUUAUAUUUCACCUUCGUUCCCGCAGCAGCUCACUCCACACUUGGUCUUCCUUCCUCCUGAACCGUCUCUCUUCCUCUGCUUGCUCGACCUCAACUCUGAGUCUCCUGUGCUUUUUGGGAAACGGUACACCAGUGACAUUCAGACUUUUCUGUCUGUGGAACCCUUUCUCGGCGAUAGAAACCCUAUGGGCCAGCAUUCCACCUACUGCUGCUGUAAGUGGCUGUAAUCUGUGUUUCUGAAAUGUGUGCGUGUGCGUGUGUGUGUGAGUGUGUGUGUGAGUGUGUGUGUGUGUGUGUGUGUGUACCACUUCGGGUACACUUGAAAAACUUGAAAAACUCUGCAUGAUUUGAUGUGUCUUGUGAUUCUCAACCCUAGCACCGUCAAAGGCCCUUGGAGAGCUAAACCACAUCACCUGUUCAGAAUUCUAGUGGUUUCCAAGAGGUGCUUUAAGGGAUGGCUUGAGAAAUGAAGGGUGUGCAGGCGGGACGGCCUCAGCAGGCAGCUCCACUUUACCCUAACUUCCUCCUAACGUUCUACUGAAGGAAAGGUUUCCCUGCUUUAAAAACUAGUUCUGUGCCUUUGUGUCUCUGCGUCUCUAUGUCUGUGUCUGUAUCGCUCUCUCUCUCCUUCUCUCACUUUGGCUACCCUCUCCUAAACUACCAGGCACCUUGAAGUCCACGGAGAGGUGAGAAAUGUUCCAUGCCCACACAGGGGGCUCUGUGACUAAUCAUUCAAUGAAGAGUGAGUCACAGUUAAAAUCCCCUAGCUCUGACUGCAAAAGGUGGAAGGGAAAUUUUACUCACCACAGCCAAGAGCACCCCCGGGCCUCACGGGGCCUUCCCCCGAGAGCCGCGUCCCCUGGGUUCCUAUUUACGUUAAAUCAGGCUUUGGCCCGAUGAACAGCCAUCAAGACACAAGCACCCAGAACAGAAAGGACAGAUACAUCGUGUCCGCUGCUAAGUAAUGUUUUGAGUGUGUUGAAUUUCGGAAUACUCCACUCCCCGGUGUGAAAGCCACUAGCCAUUUACAUAAAUGUAGCUAUUUAGGGUUAAGGGUGGAGCUUGGUGGUAGAGGUAGUACGCAUGGAACCCCAGGUUUCAUUCCUAGUGCUGGAAAAAAAAAGCAGCUCUUUACAUGUGAAUUAAAAUCAAACAAAAUUUAAGAUUCAGGGGCUGGGGAUUUAGCUCAGCGGCAAAAGCACCUGCCUGGCAAGCGCAGGGUCGUGAGUUCGGUUCCCGGUACCGGAAAAAAACCAAAAAAAAAAAAAACCAAAAAAAAAAAAAAAUUUAAAAUUCAGCUUUUCAGUCACACCAACUGCAUUUCAGUACCUGCGCAUGGCUAGUGGUUGCUCUGGUGGAACAGAAAGAUGUAAAUGUUCUUUCAUAUAUAUUCUGGUCACUAUAGAAAGCUCUAUAGGACAGUAGCAGUGUCACCUGAUCUAGUUCUUAAUCCUUCGUUAGCACAGCGUGGGGCUCCUAUGAGGCUCUGCACGCCUAGCUCCCUCUAUGCGCCCCCAGAAAGCUCCCCUUUGCCAGCCAACCUGGUCCCAGGAUUCUUGGAACAGUGAAUUUAGAAGUUACUGAGCUAAGGUAUAAAUGAGCAUGAGAGAGUUUGAAGCAUGGUCUGAAGUUUGCUUUUAUUCUCACUUCUUUUUUUUUUUUUUUUUUUUUUUUUUUUUUUUUGAGACAGAAUCUCACUAUGCAGUUCAAACUGGUCUUGAGCUUACUUUGUAGCCCAGGCUGGUCUCGAACUUGCAACGAUCCUCCUGCCUCAGCCUCCUGAGCGCUAGGAUUACAGGCGUGCGCCACCAUGCCCGGCUUUAUUCUCACUGCUGCACCUUGUUUGGUGUGUCUCUACUAGCAGAGGUAAUAGAUAGGAAUAAUUUCCCGUCAAAUUUUUCUAAUUAUAUAAAUAUUCCAUUCAGAAGGUUUUAUUGCUAAAAUUAAAGGUACUAGAUUCAUUAUGUUCCAUUUCAAUUAAAAUCUACCUAGUUUUCUAAAUCUUUAAUUUUUAUACACUGAAAUUCAGGCUCAAACUUGAGGUCUUUCAUUAGAAUCCAGGAAGCUGGGCAUGGUGGUACAUGCUUGUAAUCUCAGUACUUGGGAGACUGAGGCAGGAGGAUCACAGAGUUCAAGGCAAACCUAGGCUACAUAGUAAGUUCACGGGCAGCCUGAACUAUAAAGCAAGAGCCUGUCUCAAAAAACCAACCAAAUAAUACAAACAAAACCCCUGUUACCCAGGAAGUGUUUACUAUAAAUACAUUCGAAACGGGACUUAAGCGCUGCAAGGAUCUUAGGAAUCAAUUUGUGUGAUAGUUUCACUUUUCACAGUAGAAAAUAUAAAACCCAGAAGAGUCAAGUAACUUGCCUAAGCAGAGUGGGGGGGGGUCAUCACUAGAGUGCCUGGGUUCAAUUUCCUGUAAUCAAAAAAAGAAAGGUUGGAGGAAAUAGAUACGUUUGCCUUGAUUUUAAUGAGUACAUGUGUCAGACCAUCACAUUGCACUCUAUAAAUAUGUACAAUUUUUAUGGCAACUAAAAAAUUUUCAAUUAAUUCAAAAGUAUUAACUGAAAACAAGAUUAAGGGAUCUCCUUUAAAAAUUUUUUUUAACCUUUUUUGGUUUGUGUUUUUUGCAGCAGGUUCUUUUGACAUUGCCAAUGCUGUCCUCAAACUCCUGGCCUCAAGUGAUUCUCUUCCGUCAGCCUGCAGAGCACCUGGGACUACAGGCGCCACCUCUGCACCACGCAAAAGCGUCUUCAUAUCGCUGGCUUCUCCAGGACUGUAGGACUGCGCUCCUCCCACACAGCCAGAUCCCUAGGCCUGUGCCCCAUCUACUGUCCAAGUCACUCUCAGGGUUUACUUACCUGUAAAUUCAAGUGUGCUCCAAAAAAUAUACUUCCUCAAAAGGCCAUUUCCCUAGAAAUAUCCCUUGGACUUUACACUACAAAAAUCACCUUAGCGGUAAAGACAACUAGAAACCCAUCCUAUCUAGAGCAAGCACCUGUGCGUAGGAGCAGUCUCAACACCACAGCCAAACGUCAGAAGUGCAGUAUUUCAUAUGGCGUCACCUCCCACCUGUCAGGCCUGAGUCUCACCGGGGUGUGCUUUUGAUGCCCGGGUAUCUCCGGAGGGCUUAGCAUAACAUCUUCAGCUGUUACCUCUCAAGUGCAAAUUAGACUUCAAAGUCUCUUUCUACUUAAACUCUAGUGUGAGGGUCAUCAUCUAACCUAUGGAGCAAAUGUGGUCUUGUUUUUACAAGUAUCUGACUGUCUUUGUAAAUAAAGUUUUAUCGGAACACUGCCAUCCUCACUUGUUUACGUAUCAUCUGUGUCUCUACCUUUUAGCUUUUACAGCAGAGCUGAAUAAUUGUGACGCACAAAGG
Molecule: long non-coding RNA, 3973 nt
Organism: Chinchilla lanigera (long-tailed chinchilla)
Lineage: Eukaryota; Metazoa; Chordata; Mammalia; Rodentia; Chinchillidae
Source: Ensembl